GCUCGGUUAGCUCAGUUGGUUAGAGCAGUGUACUAAUACAACGUAACUUGUACUAAGUAAUGCAAAGGUCAUGAGUUCGACCCUCAUACUGAGCA
Molecule: transfer RNA, 95 nt
Filed under: Xylaria arbuscula
Lineage: Eukaryota; Fungi; Ascomycota; Sordariomycetes; Xylariales; Xylariaceae
Rfam family: tRNA
About the family: Transfer RNA (tRNA) molecules are approximately 80 nucleotides in length.
Source: Rfam by way of RNAcentral